UCAGCAGCCGCGGUAAGACGGAGGGGGCAAGCGUUGUCCGGAAUUACUGGGCGUAAAGCGCUCGUAGGCGGUCCUUUACGGCGAUGGUGAAAGCUCCCGGCUCAACUGGGAGAGGCCCGUCGCAACGGGGGGACUCGAGGGUGGUAGAGGCAGAUGGAAUUCCUGGUGUAGCGGUGAAAUGCGUAGAGAUCAGGAGGAACACCCAUGGCGAAGGCAGUCUGCUGGGCCACACCUGACGCUGAGGAGCGAAAGCCAGGGGAGCGAACGGGAUUAGAUACCCCGGUAGUCCUGGCUGUAAACGAUGGAUACUAGGUGUCAGCGGUAUCGACCCCGCUGGUGCCGGAGCUAACGCGUGAAGUAUCCCGCCUGGGGAGUACGGCCGCAAGGUUGAAACUCAAAGGAAUUGACGGGGGCCCGCACA
Molecule: ribosomal RNA, 421 nt
Filed under: uncultured bacterium
Lineage: Bacteria
Description: bacterial SSU rRNA
Rfam family: Bacterial small subunit ribosomal RNA
Source: RNAcentral